AACCCUAAUGCUGGCUGAAAGGAAAAAGUUCAGUUUAGGUUUUAAAACCCUAAUGCUGACUAAAGGAAAAGUUUAGUUUAGGGUUUAAAACCCUAAUGCUGACUAAAAGGAUAAUUCAUUUUAGGGUUUAAAACCCUAAUGCUGAUUACAUGGAAAAGCUCAGUUUAGGGUUUAAAACCCUAAUACUGGCUGAAUGGAAAAAGUUCAGUUUAGGGUUUAAAACCCUAAUGCUGACUAAAAGGAAAAUUCAGUUUAGGGUUUAUAACCCUAAUGCUGACUGAAAGAAAAAGUUCAGUUUAGGGUUUAAAUCCCUAAUGCUGACUGAAAGAAAAAGUUCAGUUUAGGGUUUAAAACCCUAAUGCUGACAGGAAGGAAAAGUUCAGUUUAGGGUUUAAAACCCUAAUGCUGACUAAAAGGAAAAUUCUGUUUAGGGUUUAAAACCCUAAUGCUGAUUACAUGGAAAAGCUCAGUUUAGGGUUUAAAACCCUAAUGCUGGCUGAAUGGAAAAAGUUCAGUUUAGGGUUUAAAACCCUAAUGCUGAUUGCAUGGAAAAGCUCAGUUUAGGGUUUAAAACCCUAAUACUGGCUGAAUGGAAAAAGUUCAGUUUAGGGUUUAAAACCCUAAUGCUAACUAAAAGGAAAAUUCAGUUUAGAGUUUAAAACCCUAAUGCUGACUGAAAGAAAAAGUUCAGUUUAGGGUUUAAAACUCUAAUGCAGCCUGAAAGAAAAAGUUCAGUUUAGGGUUUAAAACCCUAAUGCUGACUGGAAGGAAAAGUUCAGUUUAGGGUUUAAAACCCUAAUGCUGAUUGCAUGGAAAAGCUCAGUUUAGGGUUUAAAACCUUAAUGCUGGCUGAAAGGAAAAAGAUCAGUUUAGGGUUUAAAACCCUAAUGCUGAUUGCAUGGAAAAGCUCAGUUUAGGGUUUAAAAACCUAAUGCUGACUAAAAGGAAAAGUUCAGUUUAGGGUUUAAAACCCUAAUGCUGAUUGCAUGGAAAAGCUCAGUUUAGGGUCUAAAACCCUAAUGCUGGCUGAAAGGAAAAAGUUCAGUUUAGGGUUUAAAACCCUAAUGUUGACUAAAAGGAAAAGUUCAGUUUAGGGUUUAAAACUCUAAUGCUGAUUGCAUGGAAAAGCUCAGUUUAGGGUUUAAAAC
This 1148-nucleotide long non-coding RNA is filed under the name Nicotiana tabacum (common tobacco). RNAcentral's name for it is "long non-coding RNA (NTAB_LNC002215)". Lineage: Eukaryota; Viridiplantae; Streptophyta; Magnoliopsida; Solanales; Solanaceae. The record is from RNAcentral.